AUUGAACGCUGGCGGCAUGCCUUACACAUGCAAGUCGAACGGCAGCACGGGUGCUUGCACCUGGUGGCGAGUGGCGAACGGGUGAGUAAUACAUCGGAACAUGUCCUGUAGUGGGGGAUAGCCCGGCGAAAGCCGGAUUAAUACCGCAUACGAUCUACGGAUGAAAGCGGGGGACCUUCGGGCCUCGCGCUAUAGGGUUGGCCGAUGGCUGAUUAGCUAGUUGGUGGGUAAAGGCCUACCAAGGCGACGAUCAGUAGCUGGUCUGAGAGGACGACCAGCCACACUGGGACUGAGACACGGCCCAGACUCCUACGGGAGGCAGCAGUGGGGAAUUUUGGACAAUGGGCGAAAGCCUGAUCCAGCAAUGCCGCGUGUGUGAAGAAGGCCUUCGGGUUGUAAAGCACUUUUGUCCGGAAAGAAAUCCUUGGCCCUAAUACGGUCGGGGGAUGACGGUACCGGAAGAAUAAGCACCGGCUAACUACGUG
RNAcentral lists this ribosomal RNA (485 nucleotides) under uncultured bacterium. Its description in RNAcentral is "partial 16S ribosomal RNA". It matches the Rfam family "Bacterial small subunit ribosomal RNA", at positions 30 to 507 of the family's 1533-position model. The record is from RNAcentral.